RNAcentral lists this transfer RNA (87 nucleotides) under Myxococcales bacterium. RNAcentral's name for it is "tRNA-Leu". It matches the Rfam family "tRNA". From Rfam's summary of the family: Transfer RNA (tRNA) molecules are approximately 80 nucleotides in length. Their secondary structure includes four short double-helical elements and three loops (D, anti-codon, and T loops). Further hydrogen bonds mediate the characteristic L-shaped molecular structure. tRNAs have two regions of fundamental functional importance: the anti-codon, which is responsible for specific mRNA codon recognition, and the 3' end, to which the tRNAs corresponding amino acid is attached (by aminoacyl-tRNA synthetases). tRNAs cope with the degeneracy of the genetic code in two manners: having more than one tRNA (with a specific anti-codon) for a particular amino acid; and 'wobble' base-pairing, i.e. permitting non-standard base-pairing at the 3rd anti-codon position. RNAcentral also lists the same sequence under 2 other names. The record is from RNAcentral. Lineage: Bacteria; Pseudomonadati; Myxococcota; Myxococcia; Myxococcales.
GCUCGAGUGGCGGAAAUGGCCAGACGCACCAGGCUCAGACCCUGGCGCUCCUUGGUGGGCGUGUGAGUUCGACUCUCUCCUCGAGCA